CCUACGGGAGGCAGCAGUGGGGAAUAUUGCACAAUGGGGGAAACCCUGAUGCAGCGACGCCGCGUGAGUGAGGAAGUAUUUCGGUACGUAAAGCUCUAUCAGCAGGGAAGAAAAUGACGGUACCUGACUAAGAAGCCCCGGCUAACUACGUGCCAGCAGCCGCGGUAAUACGUAGGGGGCAAGCGUUAUCCGGAUUUACUGGGUGUAAAGGGAGCGUAGACGGUUAAUCAAGUCAGAAGUGAAAACCCAGGGCUCAACCUUGGGACUGCUUUUGAAACUGAGUAGCUAGAGUGCAGGAGGGGUAGGCGGAAUUCCUAGGGUAGCGGUGAAAUGCGUAGAUAUUAGGAGGAACACCAGUGGCGAAGGCGGCUUACUGGACUGUAACUGACGUUGAGGCUCGAAAGCGUGGGGAGCAAACAGGAUUAGAUACCCGAGUAGUC
This 440-nucleotide ribosomal RNA is filed under the name uncultured bacterium. RNAcentral describes it as "partial 16S ribosomal RNA". It matches the Rfam family "Bacterial small subunit ribosomal RNA", at positions 338 to 795 of the family's 1533-position model. The record is from RNAcentral.